RNAcentral lists this ribosomal RNA (927 nucleotides) under Tetraclita kuroshioensis. Its description in RNAcentral is "SSU rRNA". It matches the Rfam family "Eukaryotic small subunit ribosomal RNA", at positions 472 to 1357 of the family's 1831-position model. Lineage: Eukaryota; Metazoa; Arthropoda; Thecostraca; Balanomorpha; Tetraclitidae. The record is from RNAcentral.
AAUAAAUACCUUACAGAGGUCUCGUUAACCGAGAUCUCUCAAACGGAAUGAGUACAACGUGAAUCCUUUAACGAGGAUCGACUGGAGGGCAAGCCUGGUGCCAGCAGCCGCGGUAAUUCCAGCUCCAGUAGCGUAUAUUAAAGCUGUUGCGGUUAAAAAGCUCGUAGUUGGAUAUCAGUGCGUGUCCGGUCCGGUAUGCCUGGCGGCGUCGCUCGCGCGGCACUGCUGGGCUCCCAAAUAUCGGCUGGCCGCAUUCAAUCGUGCCGGAUCCGUCGACGGGCCGUUCUUCGGAGGGGCCUGUUGGCGACCGGCGACGUUACCUUGAACAAAUUAGAGUGCUCAAAGCAGGCUCUGAAUGCCUGUAUACAUAUUCAUGGAAUUGGAGAAUACGUCCCUGGCUCGAUUUGGUUGGUUUUGAGAGUCGAAGGGAAAUGAUUAAUAGGGACUGACGGAGGCAUUCGUAUUGCGACGCGAGGGGUGAAAUCCUGUGACCGUCGCACGACGAACUACUGCGAAAGCAUUUGCCGAGAAUGUUUUCAUUAGUCAAGAACGAAAGUUAGAGGUUCGAAGGCGAUCAGAUACCGCCCUAGUUCUAACCGUAAACGAUGUCGACCAGCAAUCCGCAACGGUCACUACACGGACUGUGCGGGCAGCUUCCCCGGGGAAACCAGAGUUUUUGGACUCCGGGGGAAGUAUGGUUGCAAAGCUGAAACUUAAAGGAAUUGACGGAAGGGCACCACCAGGAGUGGAGCUUGCGGCUUAAUUUGACUCAACACGGGACAACUCACCAGGCCCGGACACCGUAAGGAUUGACAGACUGAUAGCUCUCUCUUGAUUCAGUGGGUGGUGGUGCAUGGCCGUUCUUAGUUGGUGGAGUGAUUUGUCUGGUUUAUUCCGAUAACGAACGAGACUCUGGCCUAUUAAACU